Molecule: ribosomal RNA, 261 nt
Filed under: uncultured bacterium
Lineage: Bacteria
Description: partial 16S ribosomal RNA
Rfam family: Bacterial small subunit ribosomal RNA
Source: RNAcentral
CCGGCGCACGGGUGAGUAACACGUAUGCAACCUGCCUGCCACAGCCGGAUAAUCGGGAGAAAUUCCGUCUAAUACGGCAUAAUGCAUCGACGGGACAUCCUGUUGGUGCCAAAGGUUAAUUCCGGUGGCGGAUGGGCAUGCGUCGCAUUAGGUAGUUGGUAGGGUAACGGCCUACCAAGCCGACGAUGCGUAGGGGUUCUGAGAGGAAGGUCCCCCACAUUGGAACUGAGACACGGUCCAAACUCCUACGGAAGGCAGCAG